RNAcentral lists this ribosomal RNA (835 nucleotides) under uncultured Lachnospiraceae bacterium. RNAcentral's name for it is "bacterial SSU rRNA". It matches the Rfam family "Bacterial small subunit ribosomal RNA", at positions 9 to 830 of the family's 1533-position model. Lineage: Bacteria; Bacillati; Bacillota; Clostridia; Lachnospirales; Lachnospiraceae. The record is from RNAcentral.
GAGUUUGAUCAUGGCUCAGGAUGAACGCUGGCGGCGUGCCUAACACAUGCAAGUCGAACGGAGUUUACGUUAUGAAGUCUUCGGAUGGAAUGAUGUAAACUUAGUGGCGGACGGGUGAGUAACGCGUGGGCAACCUGCCCCAUACAGGGGGAUAACAGCCGGAAACGGCUGCUAAGACCGCAUAAGCGCACACCGGCGCAUGUCGGAGUGUGAAAAUGUAUACCGGAAGGUAUGCAGGUAUGGGAUGGGCCCGCGUCUGAUUAGCUAGUUGGUGAGGUAACGGCCCACCAAGGCGACGAUCAGUAGCCGGCUUGAGAGAGUGACCGGCCACAUUGGGACUGAGACACGGCCCAAACUCCUACGGGAGGCAGCAGUGGGGAAUAUUGCACAAUGGGGGAAACCCUGAUGCAGCGACGCCGCGUGAAGGAAGAAGGUCUUCGGAUUGUAAACUUCUUUGAUUGGGGAAGAAGUAAGUGACGGUACCCAAGGAACAAGCCACGGCUAACUACGUGCCAGCAGCCGCGGUAAAACGUAGGUGGCGAGCGUUGUCCGGAAUUACUGGGUGUAAAGGGCGCGUAGGCGGGGGAGCAAGUCAGGUGUGAAAUACCACGGCUCAACCGUGGGGGUGCAUCUGAAACUGUUCUUCUUGAGUGCUGGAGAGGAAAGCGGAAUUCCUAGUGUAGCGGUGAAAUGCGUAGAGAUUGGGAGGAACACCAGUGGCGAAGGCGGCUUUCUGGACGACAACUGACGCUGAGGCGCGAAAGCGUGGGGAGCAAACAGGAUUAGAUACCCUGGUAGUCCACGCUGUAAACGAUGGUUACUAGGUGUAGGAGGU